This 841-nucleotide long non-coding RNA is filed under the name Equus asinus (donkey). RNAcentral's name for it is "lncRNA (ENSEASG00005029564.1)". Lineage: Eukaryota; Metazoa; Chordata; Mammalia; Perissodactyla; Equidae. The record is from RNAcentral.
CUCAUCCUGGUUAACAAGUUAUCUCCAGUGGCCUGUCAUUUCAGUGUGUCAACCUAAAUAAAGAGGGAAACUGUGGCAAGCUCAAAUGACCAGAAAUUGAGUUUAUUCAGGAAUGGCAGAGGAAUGGCAAUUAGGGAAAUGCUUACUGUAGCAAGCUACAGGGGACUCGCUUGAGGGUUUGGGAUGGGUUGUGUUUUGAGCAAGGGGCACAAAGAAGGGGAAGUCCAGCCAGAGUAUAAGUGGUUAAGUUCACCGGCUUGAGGACGGGGAGAGAUUCUUUGAAGAUGUUCGUUAGUCAAGAGAUAAGUCUCUGUCUUCUGUCAAUUAGGCAUUUAGGGAUAUUAGUCUCUCAGUUCUUAAGUUCCGUCCUUCUGAGGGUGCAUGGGUGAGAUUCGCCAUUUCAUAUCCUCUGGUUCCAUUUUAGAUUGAAAUUCUUUCACAAGUGCUAUCCUUGUCAUCAAGGUCAUCAAGACCUGUACCCAUCACUGACCUGGUGGUAGUUUCUGCAGGUGAAGAAAGAAGACUCGGCCUGGUGUUAAACUCAGCGGUAUUGUUACAUGCCAAGGAAGCCUCAUAUAGUCAUUUUGCACUGGGAUCUUCAAACUACCUUCGUGGUCCUGCCAAGAGGAAAAAUUGUCUCUAGAGAUACUCGGCUGAGUUACAGAGGUUCUCCAAUGAUUUAGUAGUGGUGGUGGUAGAAGUCACAGCAGUUGGAAACUACAAGUUUCAAAAUGUGAGGGGGAGGAAGAAAAGCAAGUACGGGGAGAAGGAAGAAGCCCUUCUGUCCAAGAGGCCUGUAAGCUGAUCCUGGGGAGAAGGGAGAAGGUCCCGGAAUUGCUGG